GCCUUCGUGGUGUAGUGGUCUGCAUGUUCGACGCGUAACCGAGAGGUCCGUGGUUCGAUUCCCGGAGAAGGCG
Molecule: transfer RNA, 73 nt
Filed under: Stegodyphus mimosarum
Lineage: Eukaryota; Metazoa; Arthropoda; Arachnida; Araneae; Eresidae
Rfam family: tRNA
About the family: Transfer RNA (tRNA) molecules are approximately 80 nucleotides in length. Their secondary structure includes four short double-helical elements and three loops (D, anti-codon, and T loops). Further hydrogen bonds mediate the characteristic L-shaped molecular structure. tRNAs have two regions of fundamental functional importance: the anti-codon, which is responsible for specific mRNA codon recognition, and the 3' end, to which the tRNAs corresponding amino acid is attached (by aminoacyl-tRNA synthetases). tRNAs cope with the degeneracy of the genetic code in two manners: having more than one tRNA (with a specific anti-codon) for a particular amino acid; and 'wobble' base-pairing, i.e. permitting non-standard base-pairing at the 3rd anti-codon position.
Source: Rfam by way of RNAcentral